GGUGUUGUGCCAGAGUGGUUAAUGGGUUAGACUCGAAUUAUGAGCGUAUCUAAUGCCUUAGGGCGCGUAGGUUCGAAUCCUGCCAACAUCG
Pestalotiopsis sp. NC0098 is the source of this 91-nucleotide non-coding RNA. The record is from the annotation of a GenBank genome assembly. Lineage: Eukaryota; Fungi; Ascomycota; Sordariomycetes; Amphisphaeriales; Sporocadaceae.